GACGAACCGUGCGAACGUUAUUCGGAAUCACUGGGCUUAAAGCGCGUGUAGGCGGGAGGGCACGUCCGUUGCUGAAAUCCCCCGGCUCAACCGGGGAACGGGCGCGGAUACGACUCUCCUUGAGGGGCGUAGGGGGACCUGGAACUUCCCGGUGGAGCGGUGAAAUGCGUUGAGAUCGGAAGGAACGCCCGUGGCGAAAGCGAGGUCCUGGACGCCUACUGACGCUGAGACGCGAAAGCCAGGGGAGCGAACGGG
Molecule: ribosomal RNA, 255 nt
Filed under: uncultured bacterium
Lineage: Bacteria
Description: partial 16S ribosomal RNA
Rfam family: Bacterial small subunit ribosomal RNA
Source: RNAcentral